AGGAUUAACGCUGGCGGCGUGCAUGAAACAUGCAAGUCGAGCGCGGUGUGAUGCGGGGUAACCCAAGUCACAUCUAGCGGCGAACGGGUGAGUAACACGUGAGCAACCUACCUUCGAGUUGGGGAUAGCCCUGGGAAACCAGGAUUAAUACCCGAUGUGGUCACAACAGGACAUCCUGAUGUGAGUAAAGGCGUAAGCCGCUCGAUGACGGGCUCGCGGCCUAUUAGCUUGUUGGUGGGGUAACGGCCUACCAAGGCGAUGAUGGGUAGCUGGUCUGAGAGGACGAUCAGCCACACUGGGACUGAGACACGGCCCAGACUCCUACGGGAGGCAGCAGUUAGGAAUUUUCCGCAAUGGGCGAAAGCCUGACGGAGCAACGCCGCGUGAGUGAUGAAGACCUUCGGGUUGUAAAGCUCUGUCGGAGGGGAAGAACACAAUGACGGUACCCUCCAAGAAAGCCCGGCUAACUACGUGCCAGCAGCCGCGGUAA
RNAcentral lists this ribosomal RNA (490 nucleotides) under uncultured bacterium. Its description in RNAcentral is "SSU rRNA". It matches the Rfam family "Bacterial small subunit ribosomal RNA", at positions 26 to 523 of the family's 1533-position model. The record is from RNAcentral.